GGAUUCGGUAUGCUAAGUUUGAGAUGAAGAAUGGUGAAGUUGCGAGGGCUAGGAAUGUGUAUGAAAGGGCGGUUGAGAAAUUGGCUGAUGAUGAGGAGGCGGAGCAGUUGUUUGUGGCUUUUGCUGAGUUUGAGGAGCGGUGCAAGGAGUCAGAGCGUGCUCGGUGUAUUUAUAAGUUUGCAUUGGACCAUAUACCGAAAGGAAGGGCGGAGGAUCUGUAUAGGAAGUUUGUUGCGUUUGAGAAGCAGUAUGGGGACAAGGAAGGAAUUGAAGAUGCAAUAGUGGGAAAGAGAAGGUUUCAGUACGAGGAUGAAGUGAGGAAGAACCCAUUGAAUUAUGAUAUGUGGUUUGAUUAUAUUAGGUUGGAGGAGAGCGUGGGGAAUAAGGAGAGGAUUAGGGAGGUUUAUGAGCGUGCAAUUGCAAAUGUGCCACCAGCCGAGGAAAAGAGAUACUGGCAAAGAUACAUAUACUUAUGGAUAAAUUAUGCUCUCUACGAAGAACUUGAUGCAGAAGAUAUUGAGAGAACACGGGAUGUCUACAGGGAAUGCCUGAACCUAAUUCCUCAUAAGAAGUUUUCAUUUGCAAAGAUAUGGCU
Molecule: unclassified non-coding RNA, 595 nt
Filed under: Hevea brasiliensis (rubber tree)
Lineage: Eukaryota; Viridiplantae; Streptophyta; Magnoliopsida; Malpighiales; Euphorbiaceae
Source: RNAcentral